Molecule: ribosomal RNA, 20 nt
Filed under: Ulvales sp. 6-BER-2008
Lineage: Eukaryota; Viridiplantae; Chlorophyta; Ulvophyceae; Ulvales
Description: partial 5.8S ribosomal RNA
Source: RNAcentral
CACCUGCCUCAGCGUCGGUG